GAUGAACGCUAGCUACAGGCUUAACACAUGCAAGUCGAGGGGCAGCAUGAAGUCAGCUUGCUGACUUUGAUGGCGACCGGCGCACGGGUGAGUAACGCGUAUCCAACCUUCCCCUUACUCAGGAAUAGCCCGUUGAAAGACGGAUUAAUGCCUGAUGUUCUCUAUUUCCGGCAUCGGUAAUAGAGCAAAGAUUCAUCGGUAAGGGAUGGGGAUGCGUAUGAUUAGCUUGUUGGCGGGGUAACGGCCCACCAAGGCAACGAUCAUUAGGGGUUCUGAGAGGAAGGUCCCCCACACUGGAACUGAGACACGGUCCAGACUCCUACGGGAGGCAGCAGUGAGGAAUAUUGGUCAAUGGUCUGACGACUGAACCAGCCAUGCCGCGUGAAGGUCACGGCCCUAUGGGUCUUAAACUUCUUUUGCAAGGGAGCAAUAAGCCUCACGUGUGGGGCGAUGAGAGUACCUUGCGAAUAAGCAUCGGCUAACU
This 484-nucleotide ribosomal RNA is filed under the name uncultured bacterium. RNAcentral describes it as "bacterial SSU rRNA". It matches the Rfam family "Bacterial small subunit ribosomal RNA", at positions 28 to 502 of the family's 1533-position model. The record is from RNAcentral.